AUAUUGCGCAAUGGGCGAAAGCCUGACGCAGCGACGCCGCGUGGGUGAUGAAGGCCUUCGGGUCGUAAAGCCCUGUCGGGAGGGACGAAACCUCGGUGCCCUAAUACGUCACCGGCCUGACGGCACCUCUUAAGGAAGCACCGGCUAACUCCGUGCCAGCAGCCGCGGUAAUGCGGAGGGUGCGGGCGUUGUUCGGAAUUACUGGGCGUAAAGCGCGUGCAGGCGGUCUCUUAAGUCUGGUGGGAAAGCCCGGGGCGCACCCCCUGAAGGGCACUGGAGACUGGGAGGCUAGAGUACCGGAGAGGAUGGUGGAAUUCCUGGUGUAGCGGUGAAAUGCGUAGAUAUCAGGAGGAACACCGGUGGCGAAGGCGGCCUUCUGGACGGCUACUGACGCUGAGACGCGAAAGCGUGGGGAGCAAACA
RNAcentral lists this ribosomal RNA (422 nucleotides) under uncultured bacterium. Its description in RNAcentral is "bacterial SSU rRNA". It matches the Rfam family "Bacterial small subunit ribosomal RNA", at positions 361 to 774 of the family's 1533-position model. The record is from RNAcentral.